RNAcentral lists this ribosomal RNA (253 nucleotides) under uncultured bacterium. Its description in RNAcentral is "partial 16S ribosomal RNA". It matches the Rfam family "Bacterial small subunit ribosomal RNA", at positions 524 to 776 of the family's 1533-position model. The record is from RNAcentral.
GACGAACCGUGCAAACGUUGUUCGGAAUCACUGGGCUUAAAGGGCGCGUAGGCGGGUGGCCAAGUCAGGGGUGAAAUCUUUCGGCUCAACCGGAAAAUUGCCUUUGAUACUGGCCGUCUUGAGGGAGGUAGGGGCAUGUGGAACUUCCGGUGGAGCGGUGAAAUGCGUUGAUAUCGGAAGGAACGCCGGUGGCGAAAGCGACGUGCUGGACCUCUUCUGACGCUGAGGCGCGAAAGCUAGGGGAGCGAACGGG